RNAcentral lists this unclassified non-coding RNA (425 nucleotides) under soil metagenome. RNAcentral describes it as "partial contains 5.8S ribosomal RNA, internal transcribed spacer 2, and large subunit ribosomal RNA". The stretch from base 1 to 120 matches the Rfam family "5.8S ribosomal RNA", at positions 35 to 154 of the family's 154-position model. The record is from RNAcentral.
GAUGAAGAACGUAGCGAAAUGCGAUAAGUAGUGUGAAUUGCAGAAUUCCGUGAAUCAUCGAAUCUUUGAACGCACAUUGCGCCUUCUGGUAUUCCGGAAGGCAUGCCUGUUCGAGAGUCAUUAACAACCGUUUCGAUCCCUUUCUUUCAGAAAUUACAAAGAGGAAAAGGGUUUGGUUAUGGUGGAGGAGGGAAAGGGAGCGUUUAGCCUGUAAAAAAAGAGGCUGUGUUCCGCCUCCCCCCCAAAAUUGUACAGGCGGUCGUGUGCGCCCACGCAUCGAGGUGUUGUAAAAGCUGCCACGGCACUUUUCACCUGUGCAGUGCGAGAUUGGCCAGCCGGUUUAAAAACCCCUCCAAACAAUCAAAGGUUGACCUCGAAUCAGGUAGGGAUACCCGCUGAACUUAAGCAUAUCAAUAAGCGGAGGA